RNAcentral lists this ribosomal RNA (584 nucleotides) under uncultured bacterium. RNAcentral describes it as "partial 16S ribosomal RNA". It matches the Rfam family "Bacterial small subunit ribosomal RNA", at positions 355 to 1375 of the family's 1533-position model. The record is from RNAcentral.
UGGGGAAUUUUGGACAAUGGGCGAAAGCCUGAUCCAGCAAUGCCGCGUGUGUGAAGAAGGCCUUCGGGUUGUAAAGCACUUUUGUCCGGAAAGAAAUCCUUGGCUCUAAUACAGUCGGGGGAUGACGGUACCGGAAGAAUAAGCACCGGCUAACUACGUGCCAGCAGCCGCGGUAAUACGUAGGGUGCAAGCGUUAAUCGGAAUUACUGGGCGUAAAGCGUGCGCAGGCGGUUUGCUAAGACCGAUGUGAAAUCCCCGGGCUCAACCUGGGAACUGCAUUGGUGACUGGCAGGCUAGAGUAUGGCAGAGGGGGGUAGAAUUCCACGUGUAGCAGUGGAAUGCGUAGAGAUGUGGAGGAAUACCGAUGGCGAAGGCAGCCCCCUGGGCCAAUACUGACGCUCAUGCACGAAAGCGUGGGGAGCAAACAGGAUUAGAUACCCUGGUAGUCCACGCCCUAAACAUGUCAACUAGUUGUUGGGGAUUCAUUUCCUUAGUAACGUAGCUAACGCGUGAAGUUGACCGCCUGGGGAGUACGGUCGCAAGAUUAAAACUCAAAGGAAUUGACGGGGUCAUAGCUGUUUCCU